CUGACGCUAAGGCGUGAAAGCGUGGGGAGCAAACAGGAUUAGAUACCCUGGUAGUCCACGCCCUAAACGAUGAACACUAGUCGUCGCUAUGCUAGUCAUGGCGGUGAUGCACUUAACAGAUUAAGUGUUCCGCCUGGGGAGUACGGUCGCAAGAUUAAAACUCAAAGGAAUAGACGGGGACCCGCACAAGUGGUGGAGCAUGUGGUUUAAUCGAAAAUACGCGAAAAACCUUACCUGGCCUUGACAUUGAUAGAAUCUGCUAGAGAUAGCGGAGUGCCAGUUUACUGGAGCUUGAAAACAGGUGCUGCACCGGCUGUCGUCAGCUCGUGUCGUGAGAUGUUGGGUUAAGUCCCGCAACGAGCGCAACCCUCGUCCUUAGUUGCCAGCAGUUCGGCUGGGCACUCUAGGGAGACUGCCUACGCAAGUAGGAGGAAGGUGAGGACGACGUCAAGUCAUCAUGGCCCUUACGGCCAGGCUACACACGUGCUACAAUGGGGCGU
RNAcentral lists this ribosomal RNA (500 nucleotides) under uncultured bacterium. Its description in RNAcentral is "bacterial SSU rRNA". It matches the Rfam family "Bacterial small subunit ribosomal RNA", at positions 740 to 1238 of the family's 1533-position model. The record is from RNAcentral.